AUGCCUGAAUGGGAAGAUAUCAUGAUCAUGAAGGUGGUUUUCCCAGGGCAAGGCUUAUCCAUUACACUCCAAAGGUGCUGAUCCCUUGGAUUUCCCCAAAUAUGGAAAAGUUGCCUACAUAAUGUGUGGGGGUAGGGGCAGACACAGCAUUUGUGCUCUCCCCUG
This is a small nuclear RNA of Pipistrellus kuhlii (Kuhl's pipistrelle), 165 nucleotides long. RefSeq annotates it as U1 spliceosomal RNA. Lineage: Eukaryota; Metazoa; Chordata; Mammalia; Chiroptera; Vespertilionidae. The record is from RefSeq and is a predicted model, not a curated record. The transcript has a single exon.